RNAcentral lists this ribosomal RNA (95 nucleotides) under Klebsiella pneumoniae. Lineage: Bacteria; Pseudomonadati; Pseudomonadota; Gammaproteobacteria; Enterobacterales; Enterobacteriaceae. RNAcentral also lists the same sequence under 2 other names. The record is from RNAcentral.
UCCCACCUGACCCCAUGCCGAACUCAGAAGUGAAACGCCGUAGCGCCGAUGGUAGUGUGGGGUCUCCCCAUGUGAGAGUAGGGAACUGCCAGGCA